Molecule: long non-coding RNA, 673 nt
Organism: Mauremys reevesii (Reeves's turtle)
Lineage: Eukaryota; Metazoa; Chordata; Testudines; Geoemydidae
Exons: 3
Source: RefSeq, a predicted model, not a curated record
UACUGGAAGGUCUUGUGCACCUGUAGUGUUUUUGGCAGUGAUGGCUCUUCCAUAGGUGGUUUGCUGUUCUUGCAGAGGGCAGCGGAGCAUCUGCAGGAAGCGGACCUGCACAAUCUAGCUGUUUCGCUUUGCAGUGGAGCCGAGGAGCGCUCUUGUAAUGUUGGAGGAGCAGUCGUACUGAGAUUGGUCAGAUGAGAGAUCGGCCAACCUGUGGCAGAGACCAAAGAAGGAGCAGCCACCCAGAGCCCAUCCCUAGGGAUGGAAGCCGGACAAUGAUCUGCAGAUACCACGGAGAAAGAAGUGAAGGGUAAGAGCCCACCCCCGUUGUGAGAUGGAAAGCACCAAGAGCCGGGAGACCACAAGUGUUGUCGAUGCCAGCCUAUGGCGAUGCCAUCGAUCUGGGAGUGGAGCAGCCGUCACCAUCAGUGAGAUAAGUGUCUGGUUUGGGGAGGACUCCGGUAACGGCCCAUCUGCCUCCAGGCUGAGACUAGUCAUUAGCUGGGGCUCGGUUUGUAGGAAAAGAUUCCUGACCUGCUGUGGUUAUGAGGGAGACAAGGUCCCCAUUUUCAGGGGCUGGUCUUUUCUCUAUCCACAAACAGUGUGUCCUAUGCAGCAGAAGGUUGGAUUGAGGAGGAUGACUCCAGCUGUUGAGUUUCUUGACUCCAUCCCACAU